This is a non-coding RNA of Cellulomonas sp. 73-145, 75 nucleotides long. The record is from Rfam. Lineage: Bacteria; Bacillati; Actinomycetota; Actinomycetes; Micrococcales; Cellulomonadaceae.
CAACGAAUGGGCAAACCCUCCGCAAGGGGGGGACGCAAAGCCACGGGACCCUCGGGGUCAGCCGGGCUACCGAAC